RNAcentral lists this transfer RNA (80 nucleotides) under Kitasatospora aureofaciens. RNAcentral's name for it is "tRNA-Arg". It matches the Rfam family "tRNA", at positions 18 to 71 of the family's 71-position model. Rfam says of the family: Transfer RNA (tRNA) molecules are approximately 80 nucleotides in length. Their secondary structure includes four short double-helical elements and three loops (D, anti-codon, and T loops). The record is from RNAcentral. RNAcentral also lists the same sequence under 6 other names. Lineage: Bacteria; Bacillati; Actinomycetota; Actinomycetes; Kitasatosporales; Streptomycetaceae.
GCCCCUGACCGGCGAGAGAAUUGAUCCAGAGCACCGCUCUCCUAAAGCGGGUGUCGCAGGUUCGAAUCCUGCCGGGGGCA